Molecule: ribosomal RNA, 1196 nt
Filed under: human gut metagenome
Description: bacterial LSU rRNA
Rfam family: Bacterial large subunit ribosomal RNA
Source: RNAcentral
AGAGUGCGUAAUAGCUCACUAGUCGAGAGGUCCUGCGCCGAAAAUGUCCGGGGCUAAAACACGACACCGAAGCUUAGGAAUCAGAAAUGAUUGGUAGAGGAGCAUUCUUAAAUCAUCGAAGCUGUACCGAUAAGGAGCAGUGGAGGUUUAAGAAGAGAGAAUGCCGGAAUGAGUAGCGAGAAUGAAGUGAGAAUCUUCAUGGCCGAAUAUCCAAGGUUUCCAGGGUAAAGCUGAUCUGCCCUGGGUUAGUCGGGGCCUAAGGCGAGGCUGAGAAGCGUAGCUGAUGGACAACAGGUUGAAAUUCCUGUACUGCCUUAUAACAGAACUGUGGGGACACAUGUUCAGGUCGCGAGCCGGGAAAGGAAAGCCCGGCGCAAGCAGAGGUUAUCGGUGGGAGGCAAACCCCCCACAAAAGAGAAGACUGCGAUGCGGAGCGAAGAAAAGUAGCGAAGAGCGAUGAGAAUGUGUCGAGAAAAGCCGCUAUUGUUUAUAAGGUACCCGUACCGUAAACCGACACAGGUGGAUGAGGAGAGAAUCCUAAGGCCGGCGGGAGAAGCAUUGUUAAGGAACUCGGCAAAAUGACCCCGUAACUUCGGGAGAAGGGGUGCCCACGAAAGUGGGCCGCAGAGAAUAGGCUCAAGCAACUGUUUAGCAAAAACACAGGUCUAUGCGAAACCGAAAGGUGAGGUAUAUGGGCUGACGCCUGCCCGGUGCUGGAAGGUUAAGAGGAGAGGUUAACGAAAGUGAAGCUUUGAAUUUAAGCCCCAGUAAACGGCGGCCGUAACUAUAACGGUCCUAAGGUAGCGAAAUUCCUUGUCGGGUAAGUUCCGACCCGCACGAAAGGCGUAAUGAUUUGGGCACUGUCUCGACAAUGCAUCCGGUGAAAUUGAAGUACCAGUGAAGAUGCUGGUUACCUGCGCCAGGACGGAAAGACCCCAUGGAGCUUUACUCUAGCUUGAUACUGGGAUUCGGUAUUGCAUGUACAGGAUAGGUGGGAGACUAAGAGGUGAUGACGCCAGUUGUCACGGAGUCGAUGUUGGGAUACCACCCCUGCAGUACUGGGUUUCUAACCUGCGGCCGUAACCCGGCCGGGGGACAAUGUCUGGUGGGGAGUUUGACUGGGGCGGUCGCCUCCGAAAGAGUAUCGGAGGCGCUCAAAGGUUCCCUCAGAAUGGUUGGAAACCAUUCGAAGAGUG